AAUAUUAACAAAAUCCGUAAACGUCCGAACAGCUUUCAUUGCGAGAACUCUCGAGAAUUAGAUGAGACCAACACGCGAGAGGUGAAAAUCGAGAGAAAUAUUCAACUUGAAAAAAGAGGUAAAACUUUAUAUUUUCUCGAUUUGCAAGGUUUUUAAAUUGCAUAAAGUUGAAAAACAAACGUUUCUUUACAUGAAAAGUGAAAGUAUGUAUGAAGUUUCUCGUUCUGUCACGUGCUAUUGUACAUGAAAGUGUCAAAACUGCACCUCUCGAUUUUGUAAACAUUUUUCCACGUGCAAGGGAGUAGUUGUGUCGGUAAAGAUGAACACACAUACACUGGUUUAGGAAACAAAAGCACUCGUUUAAGUACAUGUUGAACAGCCUUCUCCAUAAAACGGAUAUUCUGAAGACAGUGAUGACAUGAAAGUUCAAGAUUUGCCUAUUGUGAGCAUUCAGAUACCUCGGUAAUACAGAAUGGGUCAAAAAAUGCACAAAGGUUAAUCACAUCAUGCUGCAUUGCACUGUAACAGAACAAUUUAUCUGAUGCAAGCAUCAACCAUGAGAAUAACAAAGGAGGUUAGGUCCAAAGAGAAGGCAAUGUAACAAAUGAUUGCUGAAUUCAUGAGGAUUGGGAUGAAUCUUUUCUAUUCUUAAGAAGUGUCCAAACAUCAUUUGAGGAUCCCUUCCUAAGAAAAGAAGAAUUUGCCUAUUCAGAGAGUCCAUA
Saccostrea echinata is the source of this 722-nucleotide long non-coding RNA. RefSeq lists it as uncharacterized. Lineage: Eukaryota; Metazoa; Mollusca; Bivalvia; Ostreida; Ostreidae. The record is from RefSeq and is a predicted model, not a curated record. The transcript has 6 exons.